CUUCCUCCUGGAAAAAAAAGGGGGAGGGCAUCAUUUAGCAGGUAAUAUAUUGCAAUAAAAAUAUGGUUAUGCAAUAAUGGUUCAUUAAUAUGAUAAAUCAUAAUAUAACCUUUUCUAUUAAAUGAAAAAGGCAAUUUUUGAAAUGAAGACAUUUUCUUUCCUAUGGCACAUUUCCAUAGUUGGUUUGAAAGGAUUUUUUUUAAUUUUUAUUCAAAACAGUCAUUUUGAUUUGCAUGGGAGAUAACAGUUGUUCAUGACAUUUUUAUUUCUUCAUAAACAGAUUUCCAUUUUGGCGAAGGUUAAUACAGUAGGAAUUUGUUUUUACUUUUGGAUAUACUGCAAUACCACUAGAGCACUUUGUUCGGGACAGAACGGCUAAUUUAUCCUUUAUGCCUUUACGAUCUUGUCAGAGCCGCAUGUCUCCCUUAGUUUUUCUAAUCUAAAAUAAUCCCAGUGAAAUCCUUUGAUUGUCCGUUUGGACCUGCUCCAUUCCUAAAGCAGGAAUAUAAUGGGCUUUAUGGCACUUACUUGGGAGUCAUUUAUCCAGCAGAAUGACUAUAGAUACUUGUUUUAAUAAGAAUAUGCUUUAUGGUAAGUGGGGACUGCUAUUUAAUUAGCCAAAGGGAAAGUAGUUCAUGAUACAAUCUGUUCCAAUCAUCUUGGACAUUAAACAAAAAGUCAGGCUAAGUUAUUUAUGUACAUGCACUUUAUUUGUAGUUGCUUUGAGCAAACCUCUUCUCUGAAACUUUAUAGCAUUUUCAGAGUGAACUGCAUUGUAGGAGGAGGAAUCGGGGAAGAAAAGGACAUGAGAGCAUCCUAUAAAAUUUUUGAAAAAGAAACAGAAGGUUUACUUAUUGCUAUCAAGGUUGUGAAUACAGGCAUGCCAAAUGGAAAACAGGCAGAGAACUAUGAUUUAUCCUCUGCUAUUUGGUAGUUUGCAUCUUUAGUGCACAGCUGAUGGAAGAAUGUUGCAGAAUGUCAGUAAGAUAUGAGAUUGUGUGUGUGUGUGUGUGUGUUCCUGUGUAUUUUGCUUGGAUUUCCAUUGCCUUCAUAGCUAUAGUCCUAUAUUUUUUCUUAUCAAUAAAAUAAAUUUAAAAUGUUCAAUGCAUAGCCAAUAG
This 1118-nucleotide long non-coding RNA is filed under the name Marmota monax (woodchuck). The record is from RNAcentral. Lineage: Eukaryota; Metazoa; Chordata; Mammalia; Rodentia; Sciuridae.